This 499-nucleotide ribosomal RNA is filed under the name Cloning vector pTL61T. The record is from RNAcentral.
UCAAAUAAAACGAAAGGCUCAGUCGAAAGACUGGGCCUUUCGUUUUAUCUGUUGUUUGUCGGUGAACGCUCUCCUGAGUAGGACAAAUCCGCCGGGAGCGGAUUUGAACGUUGCGAAGCAACGGCCCGGAGGGUGGCGGGCAGGACGCCCGCCAUAAACUGCCAGGCAUCAAAUUAAGCAGAAGGCCAUCCUGACGGAUGGCCUUUUUGCGUUUCUACAAACUCUUCCUGUCGUCAUAUCUACAAGCCAUCCCCCCACAGAUACGGUAAACUAGCCUCGUUUUUGCAUCAGGAAAGCAGCUGUUUUGGCGGAUGAGAGAAGAUUUUCAGCCUGAUACAGAUUAAAUCAGAACGCAGAAGCGGUCUGAUAAAACAGAAUUUGCCUGGCGGCAGUAGCGCGGUGGUCCCACCUGACCCCAUGCCGAACUCAGAAGUGAAACGCCGUAGCGCCGAUGGUAGUGUGGGGUCUCCCCAUGCGAGAGUAGGGAACUGCCAGGCAU